RNAcentral lists this ribosomal RNA (465 nucleotides) under Vreelandella stevensii. RNAcentral describes it as "partial 16S ribosomal RNA". It matches the Rfam family "Bacterial small subunit ribosomal RNA", at positions 338 to 795 of the family's 1533-position model. Lineage: Bacteria; Pseudomonadati; Pseudomonadota; Gammaproteobacteria; Oceanospirillales; Halomonadaceae. The record is from RNAcentral.
CCUACGGGGGGCUGCAGUGGGGAAUAUUGGACAAUGGGGGCAACCCUGAUCCAGCCAUGCCGCGUGUGUGAAGAAGGCCCUCGGGUUGUAAAGCACUUUCAGUGAGGAAGAACGCCUGGUGGUUAAUACCCAUCAGGAAAGACAUCACUCACAGAAGAAGCACCGGCUAACUCCGUGCCAGCAGCCGCGGUAAUGCGGAGGGUGCGAGCGUUAAUCGGAAUUACUGGGCGUAAAGCGCGCGUAGGUGGCUUGAUAAGCCGGUUGUGAAAGCCCCGGGCUCAACCUGGGAACGGCAUCCGGAACUGUCAAGCUAGAGUGCAGGAGAGGAAGGUAGAAUUCCCGGUGUAGCGGUGAAAUGCGUAGAGAUCGGGAGGAAUACCAGUGGCGAAGGCGGCCUUCUGGACUGACACUGACACUGAGGUGCGAAAGCGUGGGUAGCAAACAGGAUUAGAUACCCUUGUAGUC